RNAcentral lists this ribosomal RNA (383 nucleotides) under Hansenocaris demodex. Its description in RNAcentral is "partial small subunit ribosomal RNA". Lineage: Eukaryota; Metazoa; Arthropoda; Thecostraca. The record is from RNAcentral.
AGGAUUAGAUACCCUUUUAUUUUAUACAUUAUAAAUAAAUUACUAAAAUUAAAAAUAUAAAAUAAUUUAAGAUGGCGGCAUUUUUAAAAUAGAGGAACUUGUUGCUUAAUUCGAUAGACCCCGAUAAACCUUACUUUAUUUCAAGUUUAUAUACCGUUGUUUUAUUAAAUUUAAUAAAAAUUAUAAUAAAAUAUAUUAAAGAUAUAAAAUUUCAAAUCAAGGUGUAGCAAAUAAAUAAAGAACAAAUUAGUUACUAUCUUUUUAAGGGCUAAAAAUAAAAGUGAAAAUACUAUUUUAUAGAAGGAUUUAUUUGUAAAAAGAAAUUAAGAUGUUUUUUUGAUUCCAUUAAAUAAAUGUGUACAUACCGCCCGUCGCUCGCGGGA